GACGGGCGGAGCUUAUACCGACCCCAAACAAUUUUGUUGAUAAUGGUAAAUGCCCAUAAGCAAUUUUUCAUUUAGUGUUCCCGUGGUUUAUUUGAUAAAAAAAUAAGACUUUUCAAUUGAAUAUUUUGUUGGAAAAACGUACUAUUUAAGAGCUUUUUAUUAGUUGUUUCCCAGGUUUUUAAGAUCUAGGACUGCUUCAGAAUGGGUAUAUGCUUUGUUCCAGACUGUAAACAUUACAGUUCAAAGCAUCCAUGUGUUUUUUCGGUUCCUAAAAAACAAGACCCAGAGGAAUAGAUGGAUUUCUCUCAUAAGGAAGGGAACUGUAAAAAACCUUGUGAUCGAGCUACUACCAGGACCCUCAACGGAACCACUACCAGGUCCUUCAACCAAACUACUGCCAGGGUCUUCAAAAUGAGAUCAUGAAGUGACUCAAAUUAAACUUGAUGCUUCACUACUGAGUCCAUCAUCUGCAUUUCAAGAUGCUGAGAAUUACUUUUUGCGGCAGCAGGUGGUUGAAUUAACAGAGAAGCUGGAAAAGUUAUCAACAAGGUUCAGCUAUGAAAUUGUGGAGAACAAAGGUGCUCAUGUACUAAUGUAUACUUGUAUUCCAACCAAUGAGCUGUUCAUGUUUCUUUUUGAACUAAUGGACAGCAUUAAAUUAAAAUAUUGUGCUGGAUGGAAUGUUCAAAUCGUUCCUAAAAUUGGUCAACUGUUUAUGACCUUAAUGAAGCUAAGGCUUAAUCUUCCACAUGAAAAUUUGAGUAUUAGAUUUAGUUGUAGUACAGCUACAGUGACCAAUAUUAUAAUUAUGUGGAUCUAUGCUCUACAUGAAGUCCUUUCCAAUAAUUUGAUGAAAACUAUAUCAUCAAGACUACAGAAUCAGGCCUGCCUCCCUAUUGCUUUUACGAAUUUUAAAAAAUGUAGAAUAAUUUUGGAUUGCACCGAAAUUGUGUUGCACCAAACGGUGUAAUCACUUUUGUUAGCAAGGCUUAUCCAGGGUCUACAUCUGAUAAAAAAAUUGUUGAGGAGAGUAAGGUUCUAGAUCAGAUGGUGGCUGGAGAUUUGAUAUUAGCAGAUAAAGUUUUCUUGAUUAAGGAACUUCUCCCUAUAGGAGUAUCAUUAAAUAUAUCUCCAUUUUUAAUUAACAACACCACAGUUUACAGAAUCCCAAGUAUAUGUAACUCAGCAAAUUGCAAAGGCUAGAAUUCAUGUCAAACGGGCCAUCAGGAGAAUAAAGUGUAUUUUGUAGCAAGUUCCAUCAUAUUAUAUAUCACAAAUUUCAAUUAUCUUUCAACUGUGUACAGCCCUAACAAACUUGCAAUAUUCUCCAAUUAAAGAAGUUGAGGAGUAUUAUUGGUUGGAUCUAUACUGUAGGUUAUGCCAUUAAUGUGAACUGAUUUGAUUAACCAUACGGAGUUAAGCCAAAGUACAUAGACAUAUUAUAAUUUUGAGUUUUAAAUAUUUUUUAUUGUAGCAAUAUAUUCCCUUAUUCGACUUUUUUUGUAAAAAGUUUAGAAAUUUUUAUUUAAAAAAUGUAUAUUUAGAUUUUACUUAAUUUAUAAAUGAAUUGAUUUUUUGUCAGUAGACUACAGUCUUUACAAUCUUCAAAUAAAUUAUUAAGCCACAA
Molecule: long non-coding RNA, 1627 nt
Organism: Diorhabda sublineata
Lineage: Eukaryota; Metazoa; Arthropoda; Insecta; Coleoptera; Chrysomelidae
Exons: 3
Source: RefSeq, a predicted model, not a curated record